Molecule: long non-coding RNA, 289 nt
Organism: Pipistrellus kuhlii (Kuhl's pipistrelle)
Lineage: Eukaryota; Metazoa; Chordata; Mammalia; Chiroptera; Vespertilionidae
Exons: 3
Source: RefSeq, a predicted model, not a curated record
GGGGGCGAUUGUUUUCCUCCUGUGCAUAAUAUAGAGUAUUCUCAAAAAUGGCACCCGCUCCUGUGUCUGUCCUGGUUGCUGCUGUUUAUUUAAAUGUGCAAAUCAGGUGCAGUUGCUGAAGGUUGUUUUGCUCCUUCUUUCUAGUUUCCAGUAAGCAUAUUGACAGACAUUUUUAUAAAAGCCAUUUGCUUUGGGUUUUACCUGGAGGAUAUUCUACAUGCUGCUUAUGCCCUUCUCCGUGAAACUCUUCAGGAAAUCAUGAUAUGCACUAAGUUGUGUGAGUCAAGCC